GCGCCCUUCUGUAGCACACACUAAAAUUGGAAUGAUACAGAGAUUAGGUUGGCCCCUGUGCAAAGUUGACUUGACUUAGAAUUUGUGAAGUGGUUCAUGUUUGA
Small nuclear RNA from Dipodomys ordii (Ord's kangaroo rat), 104 nucleotides. NCBI's taxonomy places the organism in Eukaryota, Metazoa, Chordata, Mammalia, Rodentia, Heteromyidae. The record is from Ensembl.